GGGUGAGUAAUGCUUAGGAAUCUGCCUAUUAGUGGGGGACAACAUCUCGAAAGGGAUGCUAAUACCGCAUACGUCCUACGGGAGAAAGCGGGGGAUCUUCGGACCUUGCGCUAAUAGAUGAGCCUAAGUCGGAUUAGCUAGUUGGUGGGGUAAAGGCCUACCAAGGCGACGAUCUGUAGCGGGUCUGAGAGGAUGAUCCGCCACACUGGGACUGAGACACGGCCCAGACUCCUACGGGAGGCAGCAGUGGGGAAUAUUGGACAAUGGGGGGAACCCUGAUCCAGCCAUGCCGCGUGUGUGAAGAAGGCCUUAUGGUUGUAAAGCACUUUAAGCGAGGAGGAGGCUACUUUAGUUAAUACCUAGAGAUAGUGGACGUUACUCGCAAAAUAAGCACCGGCUAACUCUGUGCCAGCAGCCGCGGUAAUACAGAGGGUGCAAGCGUUAAUCGGAUUUACUGGGCGUAAAGCGCGCGUAGGCGGCUAAUUAAGUCAAAUGUGAAAUCCCCGAGCUUAACUUGGGAAUUGCAUUCAAUACUGGUUAGCUAGAGUGUGGGAGAGGAUGGUAGAAUUCCAGGUGUAGCGGUGAAAUGCGUAGAGAUCUGGAGGAAUACCGAUGGCGAA
RNAcentral lists this ribosomal RNA (620 nucleotides) under Acinetobacter seifertii. Its description in RNAcentral is "bacterial SSU rRNA". It matches the Rfam family "Bacterial small subunit ribosomal RNA", at positions 104 to 719 of the family's 1533-position model. Lineage: Bacteria; Pseudomonadati; Pseudomonadota; Gammaproteobacteria; Moraxellales; Moraxellaceae. The record is from RNAcentral.